GACGAACGCUGGCGGCGUGCUUAACACAUGCAAGUCGAACGGAAAGGCCCUGCUUUUGUGGGGUGCUCGAGUGGCGAACGGGUGAGUAACACGUGAGUAACCUGCCCUUGACUUUGGGAUAACUUCAGGAAACUGGGGCUAAUACCGGAUAGGAGCUCCUGCUGCAUGGUGGGGGUUGGAAAGUUUCGGCGGUUGGGGAUGGACUCGCGGCUUAUCAGCUUGUUGGUGGGGUAGUGGCUUACCAAGGCUUUGACGGGUAGCCGGCCUGAGAGGGUGACCGGCCACAUUGGGACUGAGAUACGGCACAGACUCGUACGGGAGGCAGCAGUGGAGAAUAUUGCACAAUGGGCGGAAGCCUGAUGCAGCAACGCCGCGUGCGGGAUGACGGCCUUCGGGUUGUAAACCGCUUUCGCCUGUGACGAAGAGUGAGUGACGGUAAUGGGUAAAGAAGCACCGGCUAACUACGUG
This 468-nucleotide ribosomal RNA is filed under the name uncultured bacterium. RNAcentral's name for it is "partial 16S ribosomal RNA". It matches the Rfam family "Bacterial small subunit ribosomal RNA", at positions 28 to 507 of the family's 1533-position model. The record is from RNAcentral.